AUGAACGCUAGCGGGAGGCUUAACACAUGCAAGUCGUGGGGCAGCAUAAUGUAGCAAUACGUUGAUGGCGACCGGCGCACGGGUGAGUAACGCGUAUGCAACCUACCCUGUACAGGGGGAUAGCCCGGAGAAAUUCGGAUUAAUACCCCAUAAAGAUAUUUGAUGGCAUCAUUAGAUAUUUAAAGUUUCGGCGGUACGGGAUGGGCAUGCGUAACAUUAGCUAGUUGGUAGGGUAACGGCCUACCAAGGCAACGAUGUUUAGGGGUCCUGAGAGGGUGAUCCCCCACACUGGUACUGAGACACGGACCAGACUCCUACGGGAGGCAGCAGUGAGGAAUAUUGGUCAAUGGGCGCAAGCCUGAACCAGCCAUCCCGCGUGGAGGAAGACGGCGCUAUGCGUUGUAAACUUCUUUUCCAGAGGAAUAAAAUUUUGUACGAGUACGGAACUGAAGGUACUCUGGGAAUAAGCAUCGGCUAACUCCGUGCCAGCAGCCGCGGUAAUACGGAGGAUGCAAGCGUUAUCCGGAUUUAUUGGGUUUAAAGGGUGCGUAGGCGGAUUAAUAAGUCAGUGGUGAAAACCUUCAGCUUAACUGGAGACUUGCCAUUGAUACUGUUAGUCUUGAGUAUGGUUAAGGUAGGCGGAAUGUGUAAUGUAGCGGUGAAAUGCUUAGAUAUUACACAGAACACCGAUUGCGAAGGCAGCUUACUGAGCCAUAACUGACGCUGAUGCACGAAAGCGUGGGGAGCGAACAGGAUUAGAUACCCUGGUAGUC
This 773-nucleotide ribosomal RNA is filed under the name uncultured bacterium. RNAcentral's name for it is "bacterial SSU rRNA". It matches the Rfam family "Bacterial small subunit ribosomal RNA", at positions 29 to 795 of the family's 1533-position model. The record is from RNAcentral.